Molecule: transfer RNA, 73 nt
Filed under: Canis lupus familiaris (dog)
Lineage: Eukaryota; Metazoa; Chordata; Mammalia; Carnivora; Canidae
Also listed under: 2 other names
Rfam family: tRNA
About the family: Transfer RNA (tRNA) molecules are approximately 80 nucleotides in length. Their secondary structure includes four short double-helical elements and three loops (D, anti-codon, and T loops). Further hydrogen bonds mediate the characteristic L-shaped molecular structure. tRNAs have two regions of fundamental functional importance: the anti-codon, which is responsible for specific mRNA codon recognition, and the 3' end, to which the tRNAs corresponding amino acid is attached (by aminoacyl-tRNA synthetases). tRNAs cope with the degeneracy of the genetic code in two manners: having more than one tRNA (with a specific anti-codon) for a particular amino acid; and 'wobble' base-pairing, i.e. permitting non-standard base-pairing at the 3rd anti-codon position.
Source: Rfam by way of RNAcentral
ACCUGGCUGGUGCAGUUGGUGGCAUGUGAGACUCUUGAUCUUGGGGUUAUGAGUUCGAGCCCCAUGUUGGGUG